RNAcentral lists this ribosomal RNA (253 nucleotides) under uncultured bacterium. Its description in RNAcentral is "partial 16S ribosomal RNA". It matches the Rfam family "Bacterial small subunit ribosomal RNA", at positions 524 to 776 of the family's 1533-position model. The record is from RNAcentral.
UACGGAGGGGGCUAGCGUUGUUCGGAAUUACUGGGCGUAAAGCGCACGUAGGCGGCUUUGCAAGUCAGAGGUGAAAGCCCGGGGCUCAACCCCGGAAUAGCCUUUGAGACUGCAUCGCCUGAACAUCGGAGAGGUAAGUGGAAUUCCGAGUGUAGAGGUGAAAUUCGUAGAUAUUCGGAAGAACACCAGUGGCGAAGGCGACUUACUGGACGAUUGUUGACGCUGAGGUGCGAAAGCGUGGGGAGCAAACAGG